AGCGAACGCUGGCGGCAUGCUUAACACAUGCAAGUCGCACGGGCAGUAGCAAUACUGUCAGUGGCGGACGGGUGAGUAACGCGUAGGAAUCUAUCCUUGGAAUGGGGGACAACCGUGGGAAACUACGGCUAAUACCGCAUGAUGCCUGAGGGCCAAAGACGAAAGUCGUUUGAGGAGGAGCCUGCGUCUGAUUAGGUAGUUGGUGGGGUAAAGGCCUACCAAGCCCUACGAUCAGUAGCUGGUCUGAGAGGAUGAUCAGCCACAUUGGGACUGAGACACGGCCCAAACUCCUACGGGAGGCAGCAGUGGGGAAUAUUGGACAAUGGGCGCAAGCCUGAUCCAGCAAUGCCGCGUGGGUGAAGAAGGUCUUCGGAUUGUAAAGCCCUUUUGGCGGGGACGAUGAUGACGGUACCCGCAGAAUAAGCUCCGGCUAACUUCGUG
RNAcentral lists this ribosomal RNA (441 nucleotides) under uncultured bacterium. Its description in RNAcentral is "bacterial SSU rRNA". It matches the Rfam family "Bacterial small subunit ribosomal RNA", at positions 29 to 507 of the family's 1533-position model. The record is from RNAcentral.